RNAcentral lists this ribosomal RNA (425 nucleotides) under uncultured bacterium. RNAcentral's name for it is "partial 16S ribosomal RNA". It matches the Rfam family "Bacterial small subunit ribosomal RNA", at positions 354 to 796 of the family's 1533-position model. The record is from RNAcentral.
GUGGGGAAUAUUGCACAAUGGGGGAAACCCUGAUGCAGCGACGCCGCGUGGAGGAAGAAGGUCUUCGGAUUGUAAACUCCUGUUGUUGAGGAAGAUAAUGACGGUACUCAACAAGGAAGUGACGGCUAACUACGUGCCAGCAGCCGCGGUAAAACGUAGGUCACAAGCGUUGUCCGGAAUUACUGGGUGUAAAGGGAGCGCAGGCGGGAAGACAAGUUGGAAGUGAAAUCUAUGGGCUCAACCCAUAAACUGCUUUCAAAACUGUUUUUCUUGAGUAGUGCAGAGGUAGGCGGAAUUCCCGGUGUAGCGGUGGAAUGCGUAGAUAUCGGGAGGAACACCAGUGGCGAAGGCGGCCUACUGGGCACCAACUGACGCUGAGGCUCGAAAGUGUGGGUAGCAAACAGGAUUAGAUACCCUAGUAGUCC